UGGGGAAUCUUGCGCAAUGGGCGAAAGCCUGACGCAGCGACGCCGCGGGGGGGAAGAAGGCCUUCGGGUUGUAAACCUCUUUCAGGUGGGACGAAGCCACUCGGGUGAAUAGCCCAGAGGGUGACGGUACCUCCAGAAGAAGCCCCGGCUAACUCCGUGCCAGCAGCCGCGGGAAUACGUAGGGGGCAAGCGUUGUCCGGAUUUAUUGGGCGUAAAGAGCGUGUAGGCGGCCUGGUAGGUCGGUUGUGAAAACUGGAGGCUUAACCUUCAGACGGCGACCGAAACCCCCAGGCUAGAGUCCGGAAGAGGAGAGUGGAAUUCCUGGUGUAGCGGUGAAAUGCGCAGAUAUCAGGAAGAACACCCGUGGCGAAGGCGGCUCUCUGGGACGGUACUGACGCUGAGACGCGAAAGCGUGGGGAGCGAA
RNAcentral lists this ribosomal RNA (424 nucleotides) under uncultured bacterium. Its description in RNAcentral is "bacterial SSU rRNA". It matches the Rfam family "Bacterial small subunit ribosomal RNA", at positions 355 to 772 of the family's 1533-position model. The record is from RNAcentral.